AGAGUUUGAUCAUGGCUCAGAACGAACGCUGGCGGCGGGCCUAACACAUGCAAGUCGCACGAGAACGUCCGGGCUUGCUCGGGCUAGUAAAGUGGCGCACGGGUGAGUAGCGCGUGGGUAAUCUACCCUUGGGCAGGGAAUAACGUUCCGAAAGGAGCGCUAAUACCGUAUACGACCACAUUUUUUGCGGAGAGUGUGGUGAAAGCGGGCCUCUCUAUAGAAGCUCGCACCCAAGGUCGAGCCCGCGUCCCAUUAGCUUGUUGGUGAGGUAACGGCUCACCAAGGCCGCGAUGGGUAGCUGAUCUGAGAGGAUGAUCAGCCACACUGGGACUGGAACACGGCCCAGACUCCUACGGGAGGCAGCAGUGAGGAAUCUUGCGCAAUGGGGGAAACCCUGACGCAGCCACGCCGCGUGGGUGAAGAAGGCCUUCGGGUCGUAAAGCCCUGUCAGGUGGGAAGAACCGCAAUGAAGUGAAUAAUUUCUUUGCUUGACGGUACCACCAAAGGAAGCACCGGCUAACUCCGUGCCAGCAGCCGCGGUAAUACGGAGGGUGCAAGCGUUGUUCGGAAUUACUGGGCGUAAAGAGCGUGUAGGCGGCUAUGUAAGUCACAUGUGAAAGCCCUCGGCUCAACUGAGGAAGUGCAUGUGAUACUGCGUAGCUUGAGUCCCGGAGAGGGGUGUGGAAUUCCCGGUGUAGAGGUGAAAUUCGUAGAUAUCGGGAGGAACACCAGUGGCGAAGGCGACACUCUGGACGGUGACUGACGCUGAGACGCGAAAGCGUGGGUAGCAAACAGGAUUAGAUACCCUAGUAGUCC
This 816-nucleotide ribosomal RNA is filed under the name uncultured bacterium. RNAcentral describes it as "bacterial SSU rRNA". It matches the Rfam family "Bacterial small subunit ribosomal RNA", at positions 8 to 796 of the family's 1533-position model. The record is from RNAcentral.